RNAcentral lists this transfer RNA (64 nucleotides) under Hemicaecilius mockfordi. Its description in RNAcentral is "tRNA-Val". Lineage: Eukaryota; Metazoa; Arthropoda; Insecta; Psocodea; Sphaeropsocidae. The record is from RNAcentral.
CAAGAAAUAGCUUAAAUUGAAAAGUAUUUUAGUUACAUUAAAAAGAUAUAAAAAAUUUUCUUGA